CUCUGGACAGGAAACACUCAAAAGUAGUUUCAUUUGUCCUUAGAACUAUUCUCAAUGCCAUUGAGGAGCUUAACAAGGAGCAGAAAUGGUUGCUUCUCUACCACUUUGCUCUUGGCAAGAAGGAUCUCAUUUCAGCUGAUCCAAAAUGAGUCUAAGGCUGCAGUAUCUGGGAGAGACCAUGCAAAUUAAGUUAUUUCUAUCAAAGAAUCAUCGUGACUUAAACAUUGGAAUCAUCCAGUCAACCACAGAUAGUUGCCCAGAGGAUCAGAUGGAAAAGAAAACAGCUGUGUGUUCACCAUCUGCUUCCCAUAUUGCCCGAGACAAGAUCCAGAAAAGCCAAGUUCUCAGCGCAGUUAACCUUCAAAUGCUUCCUGCUCUGUUGAAACUGACCGUACUACAAUAAACAUACCACAUGUUCAAUGGUCAGACUCUCUACUGCCUGGUACCGUUGGAACAAUAUGAUGCCAAAAUAUCUAGAGAACCCUAACCAGCUAAGGUGGCCCAGUAGACACAAGUGUUUUCACUAAAACUUAAGUACAGUGGGGUCUUCCUUCCUCUAAAAGGACAUUCAGGCUUGUCUACUGGCCACGCAGUAUGAAUUUCAAUAGCUUGCCAGGGGGGUUAACCAGAUUGUGGUUUAAAUUUGGGGUAUAUUACUUAAAAUCAACGUGUGUUAAUAAAGACCUGA
This 688-nucleotide long non-coding RNA is filed under the name Dasypus novemcinctus (nine-banded armadillo). Its description in RNAcentral is "lncRNA (ENSDNOG00000052868.1)". The record is from RNAcentral. Lineage: Eukaryota; Metazoa; Chordata; Mammalia; Cingulata; Dasypodidae.